This 388-nucleotide ribosomal RNA is filed under the name uncultured bacterium. Its description in RNAcentral is "bacterial SSU rRNA". It matches the Rfam family "Bacterial small subunit ribosomal RNA", at positions 28 to 417 of the family's 1533-position model. The record is from RNAcentral.
GACGAACGCUGGCGGCGUGCUUAACACAUGCAAGUCGAGCGGUAAGGCCCUUUCGGGGGUACACGAGCGGCGAACGGGUGAGUAACACGUGGGCGACCUGCCUCUAGCUCUGGGAUAAGCCUGGGAAGCUGGGUCUAAUACCGGAUAUGACCUCGCGGUGCAUGUUGCGGGGUGGAAAGCCUUGUGCGGCUAGGGAUGGGCCCGCGGCCUAUCAGCUUGUUGGUGGGGUGAUGGCCUACCAAGGCGACGACGGGUAGCCGGCCUGAGAGGGCGACCGGCCACACUGGGACUGAGACACGGCCCAGACUCCUACGGGAGGCAGCAGUGGGGAAUCUUGCGCAAUGGGCGAAAGCCUGACGCAGCGACGCCGCGUGAGGGAUGACGGCCU